AGUGGUGAUUCAGGUUCUGCAGGAGCUUCAAGUUAGCAUCGACAUCAGCUGGAAAUUCUGGAGAAGAAGAAUCAGUAGAUUUGUAGUCACGAUCGCAUUAAGUGUGACAAACCAAAGAUGACGUUGAACAGGUAGCGUCAGAGAAAGCAGAUGGCGUUCGGUUGUGGUAGACAACAACGGCGUCAGAGACAGAGGAAGAAACGUUCACAAAGGAUGAUCUCAAAGCACGUGGUGGUUUCAGGUUGGUGAAAUCAUGAUGAGAGACUUGCAAGGGAUGCAGCGAUAUUUGCAAGAAAGGGAAGACUCGCGUAAGC
Molecule: long non-coding RNA, 314 nt
Filed under: Brassica napus (rape)
Lineage: Eukaryota; Viridiplantae; Streptophyta; Magnoliopsida; Brassicales; Brassicaceae
Description: long non-coding RNA (BNAP_LNC023540)
Source: RNAcentral